GCUAUGCGCGCGUUAAAUAUAUAUAAAUAGGCGCUAGCUGGUUUAAUCACGGUUCCGUCACUAGUGCUUGGUUGCUUUGUUUGCGCUGGCAGCUAAUGUGCGUGCGUCGCCGGGACACGACGACGAAGAGGGAGGAUCGGAUCCAUCCAUGGGGGAAGCCGGCGGGGUUGUAACAAUAACCAACAACAAGCCCUGCCGCAGGCCGCUUCUCCUUGUCGUCGCUGUCCUCGUCGUCGUCCUCGUGGUGGGAAGCUGCUGCGCCGAGGCCGCCGCGGAUGAGACGAAGACGACCAUGAGCAGCAGCAGCAAGGGCGACCGCGGCGGCGGCAGGAGGAGGCGGAGGCGCGCCGAGGCGGCGGCGCCGCUGAUGGUGCCCAUCACCGUCCUCAAGUCCGCCGCCGACGCCGGAGCCGUGUGCAUGGAUGGAACGCCGCCUGCUUACCACUUGGAUCCUGGCUCCGGGGCGGGGAACAACAGCUGGAUUGUCAACCUUGAGGGAGGCGGCUGGUGCAACAACGCGAGGGCCUGCCAGUUCCGCAAGACGAGCCGCCGCGGCUCGUCGGACCUCAUGGAGAAGGAGAUCCCCUUCGGCGGCAUCAUGAGCAGCAGCCCCGCCGACAAUCCUGAUUUCUACAACUGGAACCGGGUGAAGAUCCGCUACUGCGACGGCGCUUCCUUCGCCGGCGAAGGCUUCGACAAGGAGAAUGGGUUUUACUUCCGUGGCCAGCGCAUCUGGGACGCCGUCAUCCGGCACCUCCUCUCCGUCGGGAUGGCCUCGGCAGACCAGGUGCUGCUCACCGGCUGCUCUGCCGGAGGCCUGGCGGUGGUACUCCACUGCGACGAGUUCCAGGCCUUCUUCCCGCACACCGACGCCGGCGGCCGGGGCACCACCGUCAAGUGCCUCGCCGACGCCGGUCUCUUCCUCGACGCUGCUGAUGUCUCCGGCGGCCGCAGCCUGAGAUCCUACUACUCGGACAUCGUGGCCAUGCAGGGCGUGGUUCCCAACCUGCCGCCGGCCUGCACCGCCCGGCUCGACGCCACCUCGUGCUUCUUCCCUCAGAAUGUCAUCGACGGCAUAAAGACCCCAAUCUUCCUGCUAAACGCAGCGUACGACGUCUGGCAGAUACAGGAGAGCCUGGCGCCCAACGGAGCUGACCCUGGCGGCGCCUGGCGAGCCUGCAAGUCCAACCGCUCCGCUUGCGACGCGUCCCAGAUGAAGUUACUGCAAGGGACCAGAUGGUCGCAUCCGUGAGAGGCUUCUCCGGUUCCGGAAGCAACGGCCUGUUCAUCAACUCCUGCUUCGCGCACUGCCAGUCCGAGCUGCCGGCCACCUGGAGCAACGCAGCAGCCGGCUCCCCCGCCAUUCAGAACAAGGGGAUCGCGAGGUCAGUUGGAGAUUGGUACUUCGGGCGAGCUCAAGUGAAGGCGAUCGACUGCCCCUACCCCUGUGAUGGAACAUGCCGCCACAUCAUAUGACAAGAUCCGAUCCUGUGUGGAUUUGUGGUUGUACGCCUCGUAUAUUCGUAUGCGUUCAACGGAGUGCGCAUCACGUUGAUUUGUGAGACACAUAAGAAAGCAUGCAAAAGGGUGGAGAGCCGGACAUGUACGACAGUUAGACAGCAGCUACCUAUAUAAAUUCACGUAAGAAAAAUGAGCUGAUGUGACUAUCAUUAAACGAGGAGAGAGUGUGUUGUUGUCUACUA
Molecule: RNA transcript, 1703 nt
Organism: Panicum virgatum (switchgrass)
Lineage: Eukaryota; Viridiplantae; Streptophyta; Magnoliopsida; Poales; Poaceae
Gene name: pectin acetylesterase 3-like
Exons: 10
Source: RefSeq, a predicted model, not a curated record